GUUGGCUUGGAAGCAGCCAUUCAUUUAAAGAGUGCGUAACAGCUCACUAGUCGAGUGAUCCCGCGUGGAUAAUAAUCGGGCAUAAGUCCGGUACCGAAGCCAUGGAAUCACGCCUUGUGCGUGAUUGGUAGGGGAGCAUUCCGUACAGCGGCGAAGGUCGGUGGCGAUGCCGGCUGGAGCGUACGGAAAAGCAAAUGUAGGUAUAAGUAACGAUAAUGGAGGCGAGAAACCUCCACGCCGAAAGACCAAGGUUUCCUGAUCAACGCUAAUCGGAUCAGGGUAAGUCGGGACCUAAGGGGCAGCCGCGAGGCGGACCCGAUGGAAGAAACGGUAAAGAUUCCGUUACUGUCGCCGGGAGUGAAGCGGGGACGGAGGAGUGACACCGCCGCGGACUGACGGAAUAGUCCGUUGAAGAGUGUAGGUAUUCGGAGGUCAGGCAAAUCCGGUCUCCGAGCUGAACUUGACAGUACUGCGAGCCUUCGGGCAAGCAGACAGCGCGGGUAAGCAGACUCCCAAGAAAAUCCGCUAAACAUAUGUCGGCGACACCCGUACCGAAACGGACACACGUGGUCGGGUAGAACAUACUAAGGCGCUCGAGAGAUUCACCGUUAAGGAACUAGGCAAAUUGACCUCGUAACUUCGGGAUAAGGGGUCCCACAGCGAUGUGGGCGCAGAGAAUAGGUCCAGGCAACUGUUUAACAAAAACACAGGGCUGUGCGAAAUUUAAAGAUGAAGUAUACAGCCUGACACCUGCCCGGUGCCGGAAGGUUAAGAGGAGAAGUCAUCGCAAGAGAAGCUUUGAAUUGAAGCCCCGGUAAACGGCGGCCGUAACUAUAACGGUCCUAAGGUAGCGAAAUUCCUUGUCGGGUAAGUUCCGACCUGCACGAAUGGUGUAAUGAUCUGGACACUGUCUCAACCGUGAGCUCGGUGAAAUUGUAGUAUCGGUGAAGAUGCCGAUUACCCGCAACGGGACGAAAAGACCCCGUGAACCUUUACUGCAGCUUAGCAUUGGGACCGGGUGCGUGAUGUGUAGGAUAGUCCGGAGACAGCGAGGCGGGGGCGCCAGCCCUCGCGGAGUCGACGUUGAAAUACGGACCUUUGCGCAUCUGGUCUCUAACUCGCGGAAAGCGAGGACACUGCUUGGUGGGUAGUUUGACUGGGGUGGUCGCCUCCAAAAGAGUAACGGAGGCUUCUAAAGGUACCCUCAGACCGAUUGGUAACCGGUCGUAGAGUGUAAUGGCAUAAGGGUGCUUGAC
Molecule: ribosomal RNA, 1256 nt
Filed under: human metagenome
Description: bacterial LSU rRNA
Rfam family: Bacterial large subunit ribosomal RNA
Source: RNAcentral